AUAUGGCUUGGUUAAACUUGACUCUGGUAUAUAUUGAUAUGGUACUUGUGUGUAUUUCUUAUAGAAAAUGUAGAAUACAAUGUAUACUGUUUUGAAGAAUGAUUGAAUUGGAAAAUUUAUAUUUGUUCUUGAAGAUCUUGGAACUGUUGUGGUUGAGGUAGUUGAGAAAUUUCCUUUGACCUUUUGUGAAAACCAUGCUUUGUGUAUACUGUAUGCAUUUGUUGUUUUAAGAAUUGAAAUAUUUUGUUUCAUAUUCUCUUUCAAGUGAUGUAUGUGAAAUAAGAUCAAUGUUCAUUUGGGUAUGAAUCAGUUGAAGGCUUGUGUUAAUUUUGGACUCGAAAAAAUAAGCAAGAAGCAACGUCGAAAGUGAGCUACUUCCGUUGAUUUUAGGUGAUAGGCAACUUGUAUAUUGAUUGUUUUAGCGCCUUGAAAUUUUAAGGAAACUUGGGUUCUUUUUAGAAAAUGAAUUUGCAGGGUGUAGAUGUAUAAAAGGGUGAAGAAAAGCAAUAGGCUACCACCAGGAAAUGCACAUAAGAUGUACGACACAAGUUCCACAAGGAAAAACAAAUUCUAGUGAGAUUUGAUGAGUCGGUCGCGUCCUUUAAUUUAAUCACUUGAGCUAAUGCUGGUGUUGUGGCGCUGAAGUGGAAGAAAUAAAAUGCUAAAGAACUUGGGGCAUGUGGUGACGAUGAACAAGGCUCCUUAGUCACAGGAGCUUGAGCGGCGUAAAUAUUUCAAGGCUAAGGUUGAUGAAAGGGUCCACUGCGCAGCUAACUUCAUGUUAUGACGUUGAGUUGUUUACCUAUAUUAUGUUUUAAGUGUGUGCCAGCCAAUCUUGAAUAGCUAAAGCUAAUUCAUUUUUACGGUUUAAAAGAAAAGCAAAUUUAGUGGGUGCUGUGGGCUAAGUAAAAAACUGAGAAUAUAUGAAUUUGAAACAUGUUGACACUUUCUUAAUCAA
This is a long non-coding RNA of Papaver somniferum (opium poppy), 958 nucleotides long. RefSeq lists it as uncharacterized. Lineage: Eukaryota; Viridiplantae; Streptophyta; Magnoliopsida; Ranunculales; Papaveraceae. The transcript has 2 exons. The record is from RefSeq and is a predicted model, not a curated record.